RNAcentral lists this ribosomal RNA (465 nucleotides) under uncultured bacterium. RNAcentral describes it as "partial 16S ribosomal RNA". It matches the Rfam family "Bacterial small subunit ribosomal RNA", at positions 338 to 795 of the family's 1533-position model. The record is from RNAcentral.
CCUACGGGUGGCAGCAGUAGGGAAUCUUCCACAAUGGACGAAAGUCUGAUGGAGCAACGCCGCGUGAGUGAAGAAGGGUUUCUGCUCGUAAAGCUCUGUUGGUAGUGAAGAAAGAUAGAGGUAGUAACUGGCCUUUGUUUGACGGUAAUUACUUAGAAAGUCACGGCUAACUACGUGCCAGCAGCCGCGGUGAUACGUAGGUGGCAAGCGUUGUCCGGUUUUUUUGGGCGUUAAGCGAGUGCAGGCGGUUCAAUACGUCUGAUGUGAAAGCCGUCGGCGCAACCGGAGAAUUGCAUCAGAAACUGGUGAACUUGAGUGCGGAAGAGGAGAGUGGAAUGCGUGGUGUAGCGGUGGAAUGCGUAGAUAUAAGGCAGAACACCAGUGGCGAAGGCGGCUCUCUGGUCCGCAACUGACGCUGAGGCUCGAAAGCAUGGGUAGCGAACAGGAUUAGAUACCCUAGUAGUC